Molecule: long non-coding RNA, 352 nt
Filed under: Mytilus galloprovincialis (Mediterranean mussel)
Lineage: Eukaryota; Metazoa; Mollusca; Bivalvia; Mytilida; Mytilidae
Source: RNAcentral
CAGACUGCCUCCUCAAAUCAAAUGGUUCGUACAUGAGACUUGAAAUUUUUCUAGAGCUUAUUCUAAAAUUGAGAAAGGAAAUGGGGAAUGGGGAAUGUGUCAAAGAGACAACAACCCGACCAUAGAAAAAACAACAGCAGAAGGUCACGAACAGGUCUUCAAUGUAGCGAGAAAUUCCCGCACCCGGAGGCGUCCUUCAGCUGGCCCCUAAACAAAUAUAUACUAGUUCAGUGAUAAUGAACGCCAUACUAAUUUCCAAAUAAUUUAUUGUACACAAGAAACUAAAAAUAAAAUAAUACAAAACUAACAAAGGCCAGAGGCUCCUGACUUGGAACAGGCGCAAAAAUGCGGC